CCAACUCAGACCUCCACGCUGACUACCCAGCCUGAUGGGUGAUGACGCUGCCCCCUGUCGGGUGAUCUAGCGGCCUUAAAAGUCAAUGGAGCAAAAGACUCUUCUAUAGAGGCUUCACACCGCCACCAUACCCUCAAACUAAAUCCUGCACUCCCUCAAACAGAUCCUCCAGGAAAAACAUCAUCCCUUCCUUGGACAAAUGUACACCAUCAGGCUGAAAAAGGU
Pseudophryne corroboree (corroboree frog) is the source of this 225-nucleotide long non-coding RNA. RefSeq lists it as uncharacterized. The transcript has 2 exons. Lineage: Eukaryota; Metazoa; Chordata; Amphibia; Anura; Myobatrachidae. The record is from RefSeq and is a predicted model, not a curated record.